RNAcentral lists this unclassified non-coding RNA (251 nucleotides) under Athalia rosae (coleseed sawfly). RNAcentral's name for it is "misc RNA ENSAEAG00005007818.1". Lineage: Eukaryota; Metazoa; Arthropoda; Insecta; Hymenoptera; Athaliidae. The record is from RNAcentral.
CAGGAAUCAAUGUAGGAUGACGUACCUUCGGUUCUGGAUCACAGGGAACCUCCAGGAAGGCCGGGAGAUGCAGUCAUUGACGGAUCAAUCAAAAAAUCGACUAAAAAUCAAAAAAAAUCAGGAAAUGCAGGAAGAAAUAGAAAAUAUUCGGUCAACAUCUGGAAACAAGUCUAAGGUCGUGUUACUCUAGCUGCAGGGCGUCAAAAUCUCACAGGACAUGAAGAAAGUCCACUCAUUCAUUAAAAAUUAGA